AUACGAAGGGUGCAAGCGUUACUCGGAAUUACUGGGCGUAAAGCGUGCGUAGGUGGUUGUUUAAGUCUGUCGUGAAAGCCCUGGGCUCAACCUGGGAAUGGCGAUGGAAACUGGGCGACUAGAGUGUGGCAGAGGGUAGUGGAAUUCCUGGGGUAGCAGUGAAAUGCGUAGAGAUCAGGAGGAACAUCCGUGGCGAAGGCGACUGCCUGGGCCAACACUGACACUGAGGCACGAAAGCGUGGGGAGCAAACAGGAUUAGAUACCCUGGUAGUCCACGCCCUAAACGAUGCGAACUGGAUGUUGGGUGCAAUUUGGCACGCAGUAUCGAAGCUAACGCGUUAAGUUCGCCGCCUGGGGAGUACGGUCGCAAGACUGAAACUCAAAUGAAUUGGCGGGG
RNAcentral lists this ribosomal RNA (397 nucleotides) under uncultured bacterium. Its description in RNAcentral is "partial 16S ribosomal RNA". It matches the Rfam family "Bacterial small subunit ribosomal RNA", at positions 523 to 918 of the family's 1533-position model. The record is from RNAcentral.